AUGUGUUGUCAUGAGCAGGAGAGUCCUUAUCAUAGCCUAUUGUCAUGUGAUCAUGCGAGACGUUUUUGGGAGGCUGCCCUGGUUCAGUUCAACAUCAAAAGCAUCCAAACUACACUCGUACACAUGGUCAAAAGAUAUGCUGGAUGUAAAGAUGAUCCCAAGCAUGACGAGGCAAUCACGAUCAUGGUAAUGUGGGCAAUUUGGCAUUCGAAAAAUAAGUUCGCGCACGGUGAAGAGCAGUGGCCGCCGCACAAAUCGAUGAUCAUCAUCGAUGAUAUUGUGCGUGCCCUUGAGGUACCGGCACCUGAAAUAACACAAGAAGGUGUAGUGCAGGUAAAGUGGAAACCGUCGAAAGCUGGGUGGGUUGAGAUCAAUGCUGAUGGAGCAACCGAUUUAGGCCGAUGGCGAGGGGGAAUUGACUUUAUUGGCAAAGACUACUCUGGAACCUUUGUGGCAGCGGCAGGAGCGAGAUACGAUGGUAUUCUAGUUUCUAGCCCCUCUCACCGAUAA
This 510-nucleotide ribosomal RNA is filed under the name Triticum aestivum (bread wheat). Its description in RNAcentral is "partial small subunit ribosomal RNA". Lineage: Eukaryota; Viridiplantae; Streptophyta; Magnoliopsida; Poales; Poaceae. The record is from RNAcentral.